AGGGCUCUGGAAUGAAUAUCAGAAUCAGUGAAAACAGGCAGAUCGUAAAGACGCCGUAAAAUCAUCCCUGAUGGCUCGAACCGCGCCAUCCAUGGCGCGGACGCUUU
Rahnella aquatilis is the source of this 107-nucleotide small RNA. It matches the Rfam family "Yersinia sRNA 224". Lineage: Bacteria; Pseudomonadati; Pseudomonadota; Gammaproteobacteria; Enterobacterales; Yersiniaceae. The record is from Rfam.